Molecule: long non-coding RNA, 875 nt
Organism: Oncorhynchus tshawytscha (Chinook salmon)
Lineage: Eukaryota; Metazoa; Chordata; Actinopteri; Salmoniformes; Salmonidae
Source: Ensembl
UAGGACCGUUCUAUUAGGAGGUAGGACUGUUCCGUUAGGAGGUAGGACACUUCGGUUAGAAGGUAGGACCGGUCCGUUAGGAGGUAGGACUGUUCGGUUAGGAGGUAGAACCGUUCCGUUAGGAGGUAGGACACUUCCGUUAGAAGGUAGGACCGUUCCAUUAGGAGGUAGGACUGUUCCGUUAGGAGGUAGGACACUUCCGUUAGAAGGUAGGACUGUUCCGUUAGGAGGUAGGACCGUUCCGUUAGGAGGUAGGACACUUCCGUUAGGAGGUAGGACACUUCCGUUAGGAGGUAGGACUGUUCCGUUAGGAGGUAGGACCGUUCCGUAGGAGGUAGGACACUUCCGUUAGAAGGUAGGACCGUUCUGUUAGGAGGUAGGACUGUUCCGUUAGAAGGUAGGACACUUCGGUUUUAGGAGGUAGGACUGUUCCAUUAGGAGGUAAGACUGUUCCGUUAGGAGGUAGGACUGUUCCGUUAGGAGGUAGGACACUUCGGUUAGGAGGUAGAACUGUUCCGUUAGGAGGUAGGACACUUCGGUUAGGAGGUAGGACUGUUCCGUUAGGAGGUGGGACUGUUCCGUUAGGAGGUAGGACACAUCCGUUAGGAGGUAGGACCGUUCCGUUAGGAGGUAGGACCGUUCCGUUAGGAGGUAGGACACUUCGGUUAGGAGGUAGGACACUUCGGUUAGGAGGUAGGACUGUUCCGUUAGGAGGUGGGACUGUUCCGUUAGGAGGUAGGACACAUCCGUUAGGAGGUAGGACACAUCCGUUAGGAGGUAGGACCGUUCCGUUAGGAGGUAGGACACUUCGGUUAGGAGGUAGGACCGUUCCGUUAGGAGGUAGGACACUUCGGUUAGGAGGUACGACCGUUCCG